Molecule: ribosomal RNA, 253 nt
Filed under: uncultured bacterium
Lineage: Bacteria
Description: partial 16S ribosomal RNA
Rfam family: Bacterial small subunit ribosomal RNA
Source: RNAcentral
UACGAAGGGGGCUAGCGUUGCUCGGAAUCACUGGGCGUAAAGCGCACGUAGGCGGAUUGUUAAGUCAGGGGUGAAAUCCUGGAGCUCAACUCCAGAACUGCCUUUGAUACUGGCGAUCUUGAGUCCGGGAGAGGUGAGUGGAACUGCGAGUGUAGAGGUGAAAUUCGUAGAUAUUCGCAAGAACACCAGUGGCGAAGGCGGCUCACUGGCCCGGAACUGACGCUGAGGUGCGAAAGCGUGGGGAGCAAACAGG